UGCAAGUCGAACGAUGAAGCCUUUCGGGGUGGAUUAGUGGCGAACGGGUGAGUAACACGUGGGCAAUCUGCCCUUCACUCUGGGACAAGCCCUGGAAACGGGGUCUAAUACCGGAUAACACUCUGUCCCGCAUGGGACGGGGUUAAAAGCUCCGGCGGUGAAGGAUGAGCCCGCGGCCUAUCAGCUUGUUGGUGGGGUAAUGGCCUACCAAGGCGACGACGGGUAGCCGGCCUGAGAGGGCGACCGGCCACACUGGGACUGAGACACGGCCCAGACUCCUACGGGAGGCAGCAGUGGGGAAUAUUGCACAAUGGGCGAAAGCCUGAUGCAGCGACGCCGCGUGAGGGAUGACGGCCUUCGGGUUGUAAACCUCUUUCAGCAGGGAAGAAGCGAAAGUGACGGUACCUGCAGAAGAAGCGCCGGCUAACUACGUGCCAGCAGCCGCGGUAAUACGUAGGGCGCAAGCGUUGUCCGGAAUUAUUGGGCGUAAAGAGCUCGUAGGCGGCUUGUCACGUCGGAUGUGAAAGCCCGGGGCUUAACCCCGGGUCUGCAUUCGAUACGGGCUAGCUAGAGUGUGGUAGGGGAGAUCGGAAUUCCUGGUGUAGCGGUGAAAUGCGCAGAUAUCAGGAGGAACACCGGUGGCGAAGGCGGAUCUCUGGGCCAUUACUGACGCUGAGGAGCGAAAGCGUGGGGAGCGAACAGGAUUAGAUACCCUG
RNAcentral lists this ribosomal RNA (716 nucleotides) under Streptomyces sp. YIM 56136. RNAcentral describes it as "bacterial SSU rRNA". It matches the Rfam family "Bacterial small subunit ribosomal RNA", at positions 56 to 789 of the family's 1533-position model. The record is from RNAcentral. Lineage: Bacteria; Bacillati; Actinomycetota; Actinomycetes; Kitasatosporales; Streptomycetaceae.